Non-coding RNA from Schistosoma rodhaini, 45 nucleotides. Lineage: Eukaryota; Metazoa; Platyhelminthes; Trematoda; Strigeidida; Schistosomatidae. The record is from Rfam.
AUCCAGCUGAGUCCCGAAUAGGACGAAAUGCGCGUCAAUCUGGAU